UCCUUUGCAGCCCUUGGCUAACCGAGCAGGCGGCUUCCCGGCUGCUGCUCGGCACCGUGCACCGCCAGGGCUUGACACUCAGCAUGGAGUUGGGAAUAACUCACACAGUGACUGGUUCCCGCUUCACUAAAGCUCACUUUGGGCUUCUCACACGUGUCUUUGCCUGGAGUGAGCGGGAACCGUGACUGCGUUUCUCAUGCCCAGCCUGCCCUCCUUCCCAUCAGAGAGCAGGGACUGCACACAGAGAGGCAUUUAGGCUACGCCUUCUGUCUUUUGGGGGAGAGUGCCAAAAACCAGCUCCCAAAGAGCUGUGCACGGACACAGAGGAGGGGGGAUGCAAGAAGGUCUCCGUCAGCAGUGAGGAGGAUCCGUGUCCGCAAGCUGCAAAGGGGAGACAAUGCCCUUCCUUCAAAGCUGGCUUGUCUUUUGGUUUCCAGGUUUCAGCUUGCUGUGCAAGGCAGCGUGGAGGCCCAGGCUGCCCCCACCGGCUGCCCACAGGGGAAGGAGCAGGAGCUGGAAGAAGAGCUUGGGGCCGUCAGGAGCAGCAAAGAGAGGCGUCCUGGCAAGCUCCUGCCGCACCGCGAGGAGCUUUCUCUCCCCGUGCUGCCAAAGUGGGGGGAAGGCGCGAGGCAGCAAGGCAUGGAGAGCAAGCCUGCUGCCAGGACCCUUGUGAACCAGACGGCCCCCAUCCCGGGCACCUCCCCGGGGAAGCAGGUUGGCGUGCAAUACCUCCCGCACCCUCCCGCCGGACCUCGGCGUGGCCA
Dromaius novaehollandiae (emu) is the source of this 764-nucleotide long non-coding RNA. RefSeq lists it as uncharacterized. The record is from RefSeq and is a predicted model, not a curated record. Lineage: Eukaryota; Metazoa; Chordata; Aves; Casuariiformes; Dromaiidae. The transcript has 3 exons.